AGAUGUGCCGGGCACCGAGCCUGGGCUGGAGCUCACCUGGAAACAAGGGCGCUUCGGCACCAGCCUCCCCUCCCGGAGGGCCACCAGCCGUGCCAGUGUCCCAUGUGUGGCAGGCAGGUGCAUGCUUCCCGAGGCAUUUGGUUUGUCUCUGUGCAACACCUUGUCCAGGAAGAAAAAGAAACAAAUAUUAGUUGUCCCCACAGCAAACAUCGAGUCCGUCAGGCAGUGUGGCUGGGAGCCAGAGUCCAGGCUGGGCACAGAGGACGUAUGGGGGAGUCCGCGGAGGGGCUGAUGGUGGGUGGGUGGAGCCACGCGUGACUCCCUCUCCGGCCACCCGCAGCACACACUGGGCACGGAUCGUCUUGGGGCCGGCACUCUGAGACACGGGCUGGAGGCUCCCCACGGUAACCCAGGGCCCUGCUGGCCCGCAUGCAGGCCUUUUAUCCGUGUGAACAGCAUGGCUCUCACUGGCCCCAUUCCUGUGCAUUUUGCUCCAAAUGUCUACCGCACGGGAGCCCUCCCGUGGUGGGAAUCAUCGCUGUGAGACGAAAGAAGCCCGGGUCCUGCGCCGAAGACCAGCUCGCUGCAUCACAGGAGCAAGCCUGGAACCUCGCUCCGGGCAACCCCUCCACAGACCCUCAUCCUGGCAUGACACAGCAGUGGCUCACAGUGGCUAAACCUGUAACACACAGACGAGGCCCAGAAGCCCGGGGACAUCUUGGGCUGCUAAAAAACCUUGAUAAACAGUGUCCAAGGAAAUAAGCUCCUAAGAACACUGGCACGCUUCAUACCGAUGAAAGGAGUGACCGGUUCUCCCAUCGGAGUGGGUCCAGAGUGGCUGGGAGGAUGCUGAGAAAUAAAAGGAGGAAAGAGACCCACCUACAGCCCAGGGCAGCUGGUAUCACAUCCCACAGAGGGGUCAGGACAGCGGGGCUAAAAUAAGGAACCGGCCCCAGGCUCUGCCGCCAGCCGCACCACCGGUCACACACAGAUGAUUUCCAGGGUGCGCACAUCAGGUCCAGUACCGCCUUGCCUGCGUGCUCAGGGCCCUGCCCUCUGGGUCAGCUAUCAUUGGAGAUGCCUCCGGCAGGGGAAUGUGUCCACUGCCUCAUAUUCCACGGGAUCGCUGUCAUUAGUCAGUGCUGACUGAUGUCUGCAUGCACAGGGGUCUGGAUUACAGUGUACACAGUUCAGCUACACCCUCGGCUGACCCGAAAAGGACAGCUUCACCACACAGCUGCUCCUGAACCUGACACCCGGCUUAGCUGAGGGGCUCUCGCGGUCUCAGCCCGGCUCCAUAGUGAGAGCUGAGAUUUCGCAAACCCAGCGUCUCGCCUCUGCCAGUCGCGAUGCCAGACGUGUAACACCAGGUCGGGACCCCGUGUGCCGAGCCCGCCCACAUAGACCCGCGUCUUCAGAAAGCUCGAGGGUGAUGAGACUGCGACACGAUGGUGGGGCUUGGUUCCUUCAGCACAUUUUUGGCUGGCAGGUAGCCACUUGCCCGUUCUGAUCCGGAAGUAUCCAUUAAAAGCCAGGAGCUGAGCUGUCUGAGUUGGAGUGUGCUUCCAGUUUUUGGCUCUCCACCAUGUGAGAGUCUGUGGAGCCCUGACUGCCACCGCGUGUGAACACCUAUGACCAGGGACGGCGGCCGCGAGUCAGUGCUGGCCGACUGGGGGAUCCCGUGCACAGAAGAGGAAAAGGGCAUCCAGAGGCAGAUGUUGGUGGCUGCAGAGUGGGGACACCCAGAGAUCUCAGAGUGACAGCCACUGGGCAGUUACCAACCCCCCAAACCUACAGACACCCUUAGGAUGGCGCCCAGGGCCUUUGCACAGAGCUACAUCCUCCUCGGCCCUUUCUAUGCUGAGGCAGUGUCUGUCCAUCAUGACGCUGCCCAGGUUUGGAUCCUAGGCUCGGACUUGUCUUCCUCCCCCAAACUCCCAGAGAGCUGGACUUGCAAGUACCCACCAUCACACCUGCUGCAUGAAAGUCUUUAACUGUGGUGGAGGAAGGUGCUGGUGACCGAGGGCCUCGCCAAGCCCUGUGAAAGGUUUCGCCCUGUUCAUCCACGACGCACCCUCCAGAGUGCUUGCAGCAGCCCCGCAGUCUCAGUGACCUUGUUUCCUCUGAGUGCUCAGCAUGACUGCAGGGCACAAGGGCUGCACAAGGUGCCCCCGAGGGCACCAGCACAGGAUGGGACCAGGGACAGAGAGCCGAGGCAGUGCUGGCUCAGUGGGGGAGGGGAGUACACCCAGGAAAUGGCUUGAACCCAGACCAGAAGCUAAGGGGGAGCCGCAGGAGAGAGGGUGCUCCAGGGAGCCCGGUGGCACCCACUCUGAUCUCCCCCAAGCUCGGGAUGUGAGGACCCUGAGCAGCUGUACCUAUCCCCGGCCCCUCCUCAGGGAAGCGAGCUGAGCCCUCUGGGGCUGCAGACCUUGCAGGCGCACAUUCCCUUGCCCCACAGCAGGCUCAUGGCCACCACCGGCCAACUCUGCAGCAAGGGCAGAUUCUCAUUUGCUGAGGUGCAACACAGAGCAGCUCGGCCACUCACGAGGUGUCCGGUGGAUCCCUAGUGCUCACACAGUCCAGCGAUUCUCAGUACUUACUCACAGGAGCGGAAAACUUGUGACCGUACAAAAGCCUGUACAUAAAUGUUCAUAACAACUCUAUUCUCAACUGGAAAAGCUAAAGAAGUGCAUGUUGCCUUUCAUUGGUGAAUGGAUAAACUGAGGGACAUCCAUAGGGUGAAAUACUACUCAGCAAUAACAAAGGAAUGGGAACAAAUCAAAGAGCUGUUGAGAUACAGAGGAAAUUGAGCGGGUGUUACUGAGAGAAGCCCUUCUGAAAAGACUGCAGCCUGUGUGAUUCCAAUAAUGUGACUUUCCAGAAAAGGGAAAGAGUGAAAGAUUAGUGGUUGCCAGGAGAUGAGAGGGACAUCUCCGGAGGGCAUGCAGUGUGGACACAUGUGGCUGCGAAUCUGUCAAAAUCCACAGAAUGUAGAGCACAGAGGACCUCAGAUGAGCACGGCCAUGACCCAUCCGUGAGGGCUCAUCAGUUAUGACAAGGAGCUGGACAAAGCCAAGAUGUUAGCUGGGCCUCUGUGCUGGAUGUGUCAGCUUCACUGGGCUCAGAAUGCCAGGAUGGCUGGUAAAACAGUUGCUGGAAUGAGUGGAUGAAAGACAUUGUAACAAUAGAUAAAGAAGGUCGGUCCUCACCAACACAGGGCAAAUCAGUCAGUCCUUCGAGUCCCACAUAGAACACUAUGGUGGAGAGGAAGAAACUUUGGCUCCGUCCUCCUGAGCUGGGACAGCACCUUCUGCUCCCCUUUGGCAUCAUAGCUCCGAGUCAGGGCCUUUGGUUCUGGGACUUCACCCGAUGCCCUCCCUGCAGGGCCUGGUGAAGGAGUGCUGCUACAUCACGGUGGCCAGGAAGUAGUGAGAGGGGAGGAGCCGGAGCAGAGACAGGAGGGUGACCCCCUCUUCUGCCAGCCUCCAUACCCAACACCAAGCCAGCAACAGCAUCCCAGUAAUGCAGAUGCCUUCCAUAGCCGUGCCUCUGAGCUCAUGAGGCUUCAGGGAUACAUCCAGACAGAGACCGUAG
RNAcentral lists this long non-coding RNA (3597 nucleotides) under Fukomys damarensis (Damara mole-rat). Its description in RNAcentral is "lncRNA (ENSFDAG00000022527.1)". Lineage: Eukaryota; Metazoa; Chordata; Mammalia; Rodentia; Bathyergidae. The record is from RNAcentral.